GAUGAACGCUGGCGGCGUGCCUAAUACAUGCAAGUCGAGCGAACAGACGAGGAGCUUGCUCCUCUGACGUUAGCGGCGGACGGGUGAGUAACACGUGGAUAACCUACCUAUAAGACUGGGAUAACUUCGGGAAACCGGAGCUAAUACCGGAUAAUAUAUUGAACCGCAUGGUUCAAUAGUGAAAGACGGUUUUGCUGUCACUUAUAGAUGGACCCGCGCCGCAUUAGCUAGUUGGUAAGGUAACGGCUUACCAAGGCAACGAUGCAUAGCCGACCUGAGAGGGUGAUCGGCCACACUGGAACUGAGACACGGUCCAGACUCCUACGGGAGGCAGCAGUAGGGAAUCUUCCGCAAUGGGCGAAAGCCUGACGGAGCAACGCCGCGUGAGUGAUGAAGGUCUUCGGAUCGUAAAACUCUGUUAUUAGGGAAGAACAAAUGUGUAAGUAACUAUGCACGUCUUGACGGUACCUAAUCAGAAAGCCACGGCUAACUACGUG
This 497-nucleotide ribosomal RNA is filed under the name uncultured bacterium. RNAcentral's name for it is "partial 16S ribosomal RNA". It matches the Rfam family "Bacterial small subunit ribosomal RNA", at positions 28 to 507 of the family's 1533-position model. The record is from RNAcentral.